CAUUACAAGAACGCCCGGGCUUCGGCCUGGUUAUUCAUAACCCUUUGUUGUCCGACUCUGUUGCCUCCGGGGCGACCCUGCCUUCGGGCGGGGGCUCCGGGUGGACACUUCAAACUCUUGCGUAACUUUGCAGUCUGAGUAAACUUAAUUAAUAAAUUAAAACUUUUAACAACGGAUCUCUUGGUUCUGGCAUCGAUGAAGAACGCAGCGAAAUGCGAUAAGUAAUGUGAAUUGCAGAAUUCAGUGAAUCAUCGAAUCUUUGAACGCACAUUGCGCCCCCUGGUAUUCCGGGGGGCAUGCCUGUUCGAGCGUCAUUUCACCACUCAAGCCUCGCUUGGUAUUGGGCAACGCGGUCCGCCGCGUGCCUCAAAUCGUCCGGCUGGGUCUUCUGUCCCCUAAGCGUUGUGGAAACUAUUCGCUAAAGGGUGUUCGGGAGGCUACGCCGUAAAACAACCCCAUUUCUAAGGUUGACCUCGGAUCAGGUAGGGAUACCCGCUGAACUUAAGCAUAU
Molecule: ribosomal RNA, 511 nt
Filed under: Cladosporiaceae sp. ID4-3
Lineage: Eukaryota; Fungi; Ascomycota; Dothideomycetes; Cladosporiales; Cladosporiaceae
Description: eukaryotic LSU rRNA
Rfam family: 5.8S ribosomal RNA (bases 161-314)
Source: RNAcentral